GUAUUUAUUAUAUUAUAAGAUAUUUCAGACAAAUAACAUUUAGACAUGUUUAAACGUAAUAAAAUUGGCAGGCCGAGGAGACCAAUAUGUGUCAACCCACAGCUCUCCAAAAGAAAAGCUCAACCUGCCAACAAACACUUCAAUGAUUCACACAGGGUGGAUAUGGAUAAAUUAUCCAUUAUUGUGGACAAUUGUUAAUGAUCCUUCCGCAGGUUCACCUACGGAAA
RNAcentral lists this unclassified non-coding RNA (227 nucleotides) under uncultured fungus. RNAcentral's name for it is "sequence contains ITS1". The record is from RNAcentral. Lineage: Eukaryota; Fungi.